Molecule: small nuclear RNA, 112 nt
Organism: Acomys russatus (golden spiny mouse)
Lineage: Eukaryota; Metazoa; Chordata; Mammalia; Rodentia; Muridae
Source: RefSeq, a predicted model, not a curated record
AAAUCAUCAUUUAGUGCUGGAUUUUCUCUGUAUUGUUGCAACAAUACAGAGAAAAUUAGCAUGGCCCCUGCACAAGGGUGACACACAAAUUCAUGAAGCAUUCCGUAUUUUU